This 886-nucleotide ribosomal RNA is filed under the name Homortomyces combreti. RNAcentral describes it as "LSU rRNA". It matches the Rfam family "Eukaryotic large subunit ribosomal RNA", at positions 36 to 938 of the family's 3401-position model. The record is from RNAcentral. Lineage: Eukaryota; Fungi; Ascomycota; Dothideomycetes; Homortomycetaceae.
UAGCAUAUCAAUAAGCGGAGGAAAAGAAACCAACAGGGGAUUGCCUCAGUAACGGCGAGUGAAGCGGCAACAGCUCAAAUUUGAAAUCUGGCGCCUUUGGCGUCCGAGUUGUAAUUUGUAGAGGAUGCUUCGGCGAGCGUGCCGGUCUAAGUUCCUUGGAACAGGACGUCACAGAGGGUGAGAAUCCCGUACGUGCCCGGCCGCGCGAGCCAUGUGAAGCUCCUUCGACGAGUCGAGUUGUUUGGGAAUGCAGCUCUAAAUGGGAGGUAAAUUUCUUCUAAAGCUAAAUAUUGGCCAGAGACCGAUAGCGCACAAGUAGAGUGAUCGAAAGAUGAAAAGCACUUUGGAAAGAGAGUUAAAAAGUACGUGAAAUUGUUGAAAGGGAAGCGCUUGCGACCAGACUCGCCCGCGGCAUUCGGCCGGCCUUCUGGCCGGUUUACUUUGCCGCGGUCGGGCCAGCAUCGGUUCGAGCGGCCGGAUAAAGGCUUCGGGAAUGUAGCUCCCCUCGGGGAGUGUUAUAGCCCGAGGCGUCAUGCGGCCAGCCCGGACCGAGGUCAACGCAUUUUGCUAGGAUGCUGGCGUAAUGGUCGUAAGCGGCCCGUCUUGAAACACGGACCAAGGAGUCUAACAUCUAUGCGAGUGUUUGGGUGUCAAACCCAUACGCGCAAUGAAAGUGAACGGAGGUGGGAACCCCUCGCGGGGUGCACCAUCGACCGAUCCUGAUGUCUUCGGAUGGAUUUGAGUAAGAGCAUAGCUGUUGGGACCCGAAAGAUGGUGAACUUUGCGUGAGUAGGGUGAAGCCAGAGGAAACUCUGGUGGAGGCUCGCAGCGGUUCUGACGUGCAAAUCGAUCGUCAAACUUGCGCAAAGGGCGAAAGACUAAUCGA